GCGGGUGUAGUUCACCGGUAGAAUGCGACCUUCCCAAGGUUGAGAAGAGGGUCCGAUUCCCUUCACCCGCUC
This 72-nucleotide transfer RNA is filed under the name bioreactor metagenome. Its description in RNAcentral is "tRNA-Gly". It matches the Rfam family "tRNA". Rfam says of the family: Transfer RNA (tRNA) molecules are approximately 80 nucleotides in length. Their secondary structure includes four short double-helical elements and three loops (D, anti-codon, and T loops). The record is from RNAcentral.